AAGAAUGUAAACAACUGUUAUCGGCUGGUGUGGAAUGUAACAGGUGAUUGGGCUUCUGUGAGUGUUUGGAUUUGCUGACCACUCACAGAAAGAGUUUGUCCUUGCUUUCUGCUGGACACAGAACUUUGUUAUUCAUUCUCUUCCAUGCUAUUCUUAGCUUAGUAGCCUCUGCAACUUCUCUCCUUACUCUUUUUAGUAUAGUUAUAAUGUAUUAUAUAUCAUAUAUCAAUAAAUACAGCAUUCUGAUCAUCAACAAGAUUCUCGUCCACUUCUCUCACCCCUGAAGACCUCAUCAGGGCGCUGUAAUAUUCGGUGACCCCUCGUGUCAGAGCAAAAGUUAAUUUGAUAAGACCAGAGGAGCAAAUUGCUGCACUGGGUAAAAUCCUGUAUGUGUAGCAUUUGAUGUUUGCUUUGAAGUGACCACAGAAGUGGAUUCAAGCCAGGAGCUGAAGAACUGAAGAUCCUGAUUUGGACAGAGUUCACAGCCAAGGCUGACCACAAAGAGAACCUGAAAACCCUCCAGGAGAUGUUCGGAAAGAGCAGCAGAACCGUGGAGCGGGCCAGAGCAAGCUGGACUCUUUCAAAAGAGCCUGCGCAGAUGGACUGCUCUCUUUCCCCCAUUUCUCCCCCGCAGGGGGGAUGGGAGUGGACGAGCCUGCCACCGCCGGUCUCUCGGACCCCGUCCCGCUCAGAGAUGGGGGUGGCACCAGCCCCUUCGGCCCCCCCACCGCUUUCACUGGCCUUCCCGCCGCCUCAAGCCGAGACGGUCCCUGUUCAGGAUGGUGUUGAAGACGGUGCCGAACCUGCGGGACCCUCAGAGCAGCCCACGGCCGCUCCUACAUCCAGCGUGAUUCCCUCCCCGGUUCCGGCCCCCCCGCCGCUCGCACCGGCUGCCCCAGCAGGUUCUGCUGUUGUUGGAGACUCUGUCCUCCGUGUCGGCGUCAGAGACUGCCCUGGAACCGGCGGCUUGUUCGAGCUCGGACCAUCCCCGACCGGCUGCCCCUGCAGCGGCCCCGGCGGCUGACCUCCCCUUCCGUGGAGCGGGGAGUGCCCGCCAGCUGACUGUGGGGGCAGUGCGUCUGCCUGCAUUCAAGAUCAGCAUUCUCAGCGGGUUGGGGGGUGGUUUUUCGGGGAUUGUCCCAUGGAGGCUGCCAUCUUGCACCCUAGUGGCAGGGGGUAGGGGCAUCCCGAGAGUUCUGCCUUUGGUCCCCAGCCCAGUGGGGAUGGUGCCAUGGGGCGGAUGGAAGAUACACCUGAUGCAUUUGCAUUGCAGGGGAAGAGGGCACAGAUGGAGGAGACCAUAGCUGGUUUGCUGUGGGAAACAAACAUCUCCAGACCCCAGAUGGGAUUUCUGGGGAAGGCUUCUAUUUCCCUGCUGCUGGCAUGCCUCAGUGGUUUUGGGGAAAGGAAGCAUCUCACUACCCGUGCUGCCAUUGUACUGGCAGCAGAGUGCAGGCCUGUGGGAAUGCAGAGCCUGUUUCGUGGGUUUGGGCCAAGGCCAUCACUUGGCCUCCUGAUGUUUCUGGGGGUUGCGGUUUCUCCUACCAGUCCUGGCCCCCCCUUUGUGGGCCAGUCCUGAGGGCCCUGGUCCAUCAUGGGCCAGGGCCCCCAGGGCUUUUCCUUCUCUGGCACUGCUCUCCUCGGCUGCUGCUCUUUUCCUUUUCGAUUAAAAAAAAAAAUUAAAAAAAUUAAAUAAAAAAGAUUGAAAAUAGCGGGCAGCAGCUCUGAAGCACUGAAGCAUUGAAGGGCCAGAAAAGGACAUUCUAAAAGUUGUUCAAAUUGUUUGAAAUUGUUUGAAAUUGUUGUAAGACUGUCAAUGGUUUGUGAUAACUAUUGAUGGGACUUUUGCAGAAGUCUGUUUCAGGACCAAAAAGGACUCUCCGAUUUGUCCAAGGGAAACAACUUCAGCUCAUGGACUGUUCCUGAAACUCAGCUGCUUGGACUUGAAUUCUCUUUGCAUUGUUUUUUGCAUUUUCUUAGAUUGUAGGAUUGUUUUAGUGAUUUGUUAGUAUUGUAUAUUUUACAGGUGAAGAAAUUUUCUGUUCAUUUCACAUCAGCAUUUUUCUUUUUAAUUUAUACAAUUUAGAAAGGUGAGAUGUCGCAGACAUUUUUUCAUAGAAAUCCUUUCUUCGGGAUUUGUUCAUCUUCUGGGAAGCUGAGGCCCCAGAAGAAGAAUGUAAACAACUGUUAUCGGCUGGUGUGGAAUGUAACAGGUGAUUGGGCUUCUGUGAGUGUUUGGAUUUGCUGACCACUCACAGAAAGAGUUUGUCCUUGCUUUCUGCUGGACACAGAACUUUGUUAUUCAUUCUCUUCCAUGCUAUUCUUAGCUUAGUAGCCUCUGCAACUUCUCUCCUUACUCUUUUUAGUAUAGUUAUAAUGUAUUAUAUAUCAUAUAUCAAUAAAUACAGCAUUCUGAUCAUCAACAAGAUUCUCGUCCACUUCUCUCACCCCUGAAGACCUCAUCAGGGCGCUGUAAUAUUCGGUGACCCCUCGUGUCAGAGCAAAAGUUAAUUUGAUAAGACCAGAGGAGCAAAUUGCUGCACUGGGUAAAAUCCUGUAUGUGUAGCAUUUGAUGUUUGCUUUGAAGUGACCACAGAAGUGGAUUCAAGCCAGGAGCUGAAGAACUGAAGAUCCUGAUUUGGACAGAGUUCACAGCCAAGGCUGACCACAAAGAGAACCUGAAAACCCUCCAGGAGAUGUUCGGAAAGAGCAGCAGAACCGUGGAGCGGGCCAGAGCAAGCUGGACUCUUUCAAAAGAGCCUGCGCAGAUGGACUGCUCUCUUUCCCCCAUUUCUCCCCCGCAGGGGGGAUGGGAGUGGACGAGCCUGCCACCGCCGGUCUCUCGGACCCCGUCCCGCUCAGAGAUGGGGGUGGCACCAGCCCCUUCGGCCCCCCCACCGCUUUCACUGGCCUUCCCGCCGCCUCAAGCCGAGACGGUCCCUGUUCAGGAUGGUGUUGAAGACGGUGCCGAACCUGCGGGACCCUCAGAGCAGCCCACGGCCGCUCCUACAUCCAGCGUGAUUCCCUCCCCGGUU
This is a long non-coding RNA of Melospiza melodia melodia, 3035 nucleotides long. RefSeq lists it as uncharacterized. The record is from RefSeq and is a predicted model, not a curated record. The transcript is spliced from 3 exons. Lineage: Eukaryota; Metazoa; Chordata; Aves; Passeriformes; Passerellidae.